CCUACGGGUGGCAGCAGUGAGGGAUAUUGCACAAUGGUGGGAACACUGAUGCAGCGACGCAGCGUGGGUGAAGAAGCGCCUCGGCGCGUAAAGCUCUGUCAGCAGGGAAGAAAAUGACGGUACCUGAAGAAGAAGCACCGGCUAACUACGUGCCAGCAGCCGCGGUAAUACGUAGGGGGCAGGCGUUAUACGGAUUUACUGGGUGUAAAGGGGGCGCAGACGGCGAGGCAAGCGAGGAGUGAAAGCCCGGGGCCCAACCACGGGACUGCUGUUGGAACUGCGUGGCUGGAGUGCGGGAGGGGCAGGCGGAAUUCCUGGUGUAGCGGUGAAAUGCGUAGAUAUCAGGAGGAACACCGGUGGCGAAGGCGGCAUGCGGGACUGCAACUGACGUUGAGGCUCGAAGGCGUGGGGAGCGAACAGGAUUAGAUACCCGUGUAGUC
This 440-nucleotide ribosomal RNA is filed under the name uncultured bacterium. RNAcentral's name for it is "partial 16S ribosomal RNA". It matches the Rfam family "Bacterial small subunit ribosomal RNA", at positions 338 to 795 of the family's 1533-position model. The record is from RNAcentral.